UACGAAGGGUGCAAGCGUUACUCGGAAUUACUGGGCGUAAAGGGUGCGUAGGUGGUUUUUUAAGUCCGUUGUGAAAUCCCUGGGCUCAACCUGGGAAUGGCAGUGGAUACUGGAAAGCUAGAGUGCGGUAGAGGGUAGUGGAAUUCCCGGUGUAGCAGUGAAAUGCGUAGAGAUCGGGAGGAACACCAGUGGCGAAGGCGGCUACCUGGAACAGCACUGACACUGAGGCACGAAAGCGUGGGGAGCAAACAGG
RNAcentral lists this ribosomal RNA (253 nucleotides) under uncultured bacterium. RNAcentral describes it as "partial 16S ribosomal RNA". It matches the Rfam family "Bacterial small subunit ribosomal RNA", at positions 524 to 776 of the family's 1533-position model. The record is from RNAcentral.